This 240-nucleotide unclassified non-coding RNA is filed under the name soil metagenome. RNAcentral's name for it is "partial contains 5.8S ribosomal RNA, internal transcribed spacer 2, and large subunit ribosomal RNA". The record is from RNAcentral.
AACAUCGCGCACCUGCGGGAACCUGCGGAAGGAUCAUUACUGAGUCACGUGCUCAAACAACCCUUCUGUGGACCUGAAAUAAAACCGUUGCCUCGGCGGGCGGCCCCCCCCAAACCAACCCCACGUGGUGGGUUAGGGGAGACCAGACAGUCCGGUACGCUUAAGGCGUCCGGCGCCAGCCGCUGGCCCCAAACAAUUAAACUCUAGUAAUCUUUACCUUCUGAGUUUCAAUAUUUAAAA